AGACCUUGACAGUUGUAACCGAUAGACUGGGCUGGGGCAACGCUGAUGAAAGGCAAAUUCCUGAGAGAAAAAUCACCCAGAUUUUUCAGUGCCUUCUCUAGCUUUCUAGAAGUUGUUAUGAGUGGACCUGACUACCUAGAGAGAGUAAUACAGAAGCUCCGUGCCGAUCACAGCUACCUCAUUACCAUGUUCCUCCAAGAUGGCCGCCCCUGAGGAGAAUCAUCAACUGGGCUUUACGGAAGAGAGAAAUCCAAACGACCAUCAGCAACAAAUGAAAGACUGAAGUUGAAAGGCAAGUCUUCAGAUUUGAAGUAAGAGCUAAAAAUGAAAAAAGAAUCCUGGAGAUGACCAGCAUUUAGUGGGGUGAGGAAGAAGAGAAAAGCAGCAAGUAAAGAAUAAAAGUUUCAAGAUUGUCAAGAAUGACGAGUUGGACUUGGUCUAGUUACUUCCACAGCAGCAGGAGGAACAUGUGUGUGACUCAGGAUAACUGGGGAAGCCUUGGCUAGGCUUUCCUCAUGUCAACCUACCACUCAAAGGGAGAAAACCUCCUGAUCAGAGGUGCCCAGAACCCAGGAAAUCCAUAAUUUUUGAAUGCUGGCCGAGGUCUGUGACCUCUGACUGAAUGGUUUCCAAGCUCCGAAUUCCUAGGUGAUGUUUUCAUUUGUUCACACUUGCUGAAGAAGGGAAAGGCUCUCUGAUUUACGUGUAAGCAAAACAAUCUAAACAGUAGGAUAAAAUCAUGUUGGAAUGGAGUUCUGUGUGGAUGCUCCUUUGA
Homo sapiens (human) is the source of this 775-nucleotide long non-coding RNA. Ensembl annotates it as long intergenic non-protein coding RNA 1206. The record is from Ensembl. NCBI's taxonomy places the organism in Eukaryota, Metazoa, Chordata, Mammalia, Primates, Hominidae.